CUCGAGCGAUAGCACGUUCGAGCAGUCUCUUCCUUUUUACGGAAAAUAUGGUCGAUCGUGGUCACCCAACCUUGAUUUUGAUGGAUACUCUUGAUCACCGAGGCUCUACCACUGAUCACCAUUGGGAUGAUGAGGAUAACAGGUCUAGGAACAUCAACCCAUGACAUGGCUACCAGCAAAUGUACCUCGAAAUGGACCCAUUUCGGGCUACGAAGCCCCGAUGGUCAAAAACGAACCGUUCAUUUCUUGACCCUUUUUAUUUGCAACACAAAUUAUUUUCUGCAAGUGUCUGUGGAACACAUGGUUUGGGCGUGGAAGUGCAAACAAAUGGCAUUCAUGGCACUGCAUCACUCCCCAUUGGCUUGCUCGAUGGACCAUUUCCGCUCCAGUGGUUUGAUUGCCCCUACAGAGAGCCUGUACACGAAGGGCCAUUUUCGCCACCAUGCAUGGAUUGAAAGAUUUGAAAACUGUAAUCCGCUUAAAAUGUAAAUUCAAGCACAUUUAG
Molecule: long non-coding RNA, 505 nt
Organism: Tigriopus californicus
Lineage: Eukaryota; Metazoa; Arthropoda; Copepoda; Harpacticoida; Harpacticidae
Exons: 3
Source: RefSeq, a predicted model, not a curated record